Molecule: unclassified non-coding RNA, 430 nt
Filed under: soil metagenome
Description: partial contains 5.8S ribosomal RNA, internal transcribed spacer 2, and large subunit ribosomal RNA
Rfam family: 5.8S ribosomal RNA (bases 3-120)
Source: RNAcentral
GCUGAAGAACGUAGCGAAAUGCGAUACGUAAUGUGAAUUGCAGAAUUCAGUGAAUCAUCGAAUCUUUGAACGCAUAUUGCGCUCUCUGGUAUUCCGGAGAGCAUGCUUGUUUGAGUAUCAGUAAACACCUCAACUCCCUUUUCUUUUUUGAAAUUGGAGCUGGACUUGAGUGAUCCCAACGCUUUCUUCCAAGAAAGUGGCGGGUUGCUUGAAAUGCAGGUGCAGCUGAACUUUUCUCUGAGCUAUAAGCAUAUCUAUUUAGUCUGCCUAAAAAACAGAUUAUUACCUUUGCUGCAGCUAACAUAAAGGAGACUAGUUCUUGUGCUGACUGAUGCAGGAUUCACAGAGACAGCUUCGGCUGACUUUGUAAACUCGAUCUCAAAUCAAGUAAGACUACCCGCUGAACUUAAGCAUAUCAAUAAGCGGAGGA